RNAcentral lists this ribosomal RNA (431 nucleotides) under uncultured bacterium. RNAcentral's name for it is "partial 16S ribosomal RNA". It matches the Rfam family "Bacterial small subunit ribosomal RNA", at positions 29 to 507 of the family's 1533-position model. The record is from RNAcentral.
AGCGAACGCUGGCGGCAGGCUUAACACAUGCAAGUCGAGCGCCCCGCAAGGGGAGCGGCAGACGGGAGAGUAACACGUGGGAACAUACCUUUUGGUUCGGAACAACUGAGGGAAACUUCAGCUAAUACCGGAUAAGCCCUUACGGGGAAAGAUUUAUCGCCGAAAGAUUGGCCCGCGUCUGAUUAGCUAGUUGGUGAGGUAACGGCUCACCAAGGCGACGAUCAGUAGCUGGGCUGAGAGGAUGAUCAGCCUCACUGGGACUGAGACACGGCCCAGACUCCUACGGGAAGCAGCAGUGGGGAAUAUUGGACAAUGGGGGCAACCCUGAUCCAGCCAUGCCGCGUGAGUGAUGAAGGCCUUAGGGUUGUAAAGCUCUUUUGCCCGGGAAGAUAAUGACGGUACCGGGAGAAUAAGCCCCGGCUAACUUCGUG